The sequence is a regulatory RNA element, 132 nucleotides long. It matches the Rfam family "FMN riboswitch aptamer (RFN element)". Rfam says of the family: The RFN element is a highly conserved domain that is found frequently in the 5'-untranslated regions of prokaryotic mRNAs that encode for flavin mononucleotide (FMN) biosynthesis and transport proteins. This element is a metabolite-dependent riboswitch that directly binds FMN in the absence of proteins. In Bacillus subtilis, the riboswitch most likely controls gene expression by causing premature transcription termination within the 5' untranslated region of the ribDEAHT operon and precluding access to the ribosome-binding site of ypaA mRNA. The record is from Rfam.
UUUGUCCUUCGGGGUCGGGUGUAAAUCCCAACCGGCGGUGAUGAAGAAAUUCUAAGCCCGCGAGCCUGUAAAAAGGCAGGAUUUGGUGAAAUUCCAAGGCCGACAGUAUAGUCUGGAUGGGAGAAGGACAUA